GUAGGUGGCAAGCGUUGUCCGGAAUUAUUGGGCGUAAAGCGCGCGCAGGCGGUUCUUUAAGUCUGAUGUGAAAGCCCACGGCUCAACCGUGGAGGGUCAUUGGAAACUGGAGAACUUGAGUACAGAAGAGGAAAGCGGAAUUCCACGUGUAGCGGUGAAAUGCGUAGAGAUGUGGAGGAACACCAGUGGCGAAGGCGGCUUUCUGGUCUGUAACUGACGCUGAGGCGCGAAAGCGUGGGGGGAGCAAACAGGAUUAGAUACCCUGGUAGUCCACGCCGUAAACGAUGAGUGCUAAGUGUUAGGGGGUUUCCGGCCCUUAGUGCUGCAGCUAACGCAUUAAGCACUCCGCCUGGGAGUACGGCCGCAAGGCUG
Molecule: ribosomal RNA, 372 nt
Filed under: uncultured organism
Description: partial 16S ribosomal RNA
Rfam family: Bacterial small subunit ribosomal RNA
Source: RNAcentral